UACGUAGGGCGCAAGCGUUGUCCGGAAUUAUUGGGCGUAAAGAGCUCGUAGGUGGCUGGUCGCGUCUGCCGUGAAAGCCCGCAGCUUAACUGCGGGUCUGCGGUGGAUACGGGCCGGCUAGAGGUAGGUAGGGGCAAGUGGAAUUCCUGGUGUAGCGGUGAAAUGCGCAGAUAUCAGGAAGAACACCCGUGGCGAAAGCGGCUCUCUGGAACGGUACUGACGCUGAGACGCGAAAGCGUGGGGAGCGAACAGG
This 253-nucleotide ribosomal RNA is filed under the name uncultured bacterium. Its description in RNAcentral is "partial 16S ribosomal RNA". It matches the Rfam family "Bacterial small subunit ribosomal RNA", at positions 524 to 776 of the family's 1533-position model. The record is from RNAcentral.